UCCGUAGGGUGCGAGCGUUAAUCGGAAUUACUGGGCGUAAAGCGUGCGCAGGCGGUUUUGUAAGCCAGAUGCGAAAGCCCCGGGCUUAACCUGGGAAUGGCAUUUGGGACUGCAAGGCUUGAGUGCGGCAGAGGAGACUGGAAUUCCUGGUGUAGCAGUGAAAUGCGUAGAUAUCAGGAGGAAUACCGAUGGCGAAGGCAGGUCUCUGGGCUGACACUGACGCUCAUGCACGAAAGCGUGGGGAGCAAGCAGG
This 253-nucleotide ribosomal RNA is filed under the name uncultured bacterium. Its description in RNAcentral is "partial 16S ribosomal RNA". It matches the Rfam family "Bacterial small subunit ribosomal RNA", at positions 524 to 776 of the family's 1533-position model. The record is from RNAcentral.